Molecule: microRNA, 23 nt
Filed under: Blattella germanica (German cockroach)
Lineage: Eukaryota; Metazoa; Arthropoda; Insecta; Blattodea; Blattellidae
Description: Bge-Novel-12_5p* (star (passenger))
Source: RNAcentral
CGAUGUCAUUUUGGUUCGUAAUG